Molecule: ribosomal RNA, 253 nt
Filed under: uncultured bacterium
Lineage: Bacteria
Description: partial 16S ribosomal RNA
Rfam family: Bacterial small subunit ribosomal RNA
Source: RNAcentral
UACGUAGGGGGCAAGCGUUGUCCGGAUUUAUUGGGCGUAAAGAGCGUGUAGGCGGCUUUACAGGUCCGUUGUGAAAACUCGAGGCUCAACCUCGAGACGCCGGUGGAAACCGUCUGGCUAGAGUCCGGAAGAGGAGAGUGGAAUUCCCGGUGUAGCGGUGAAAUGCGCAGAUAUCGGGAAGAACACCCGUGGCGAAGGCGGCUCUCUGGGACGGUACUGACGCUGAGACGCGAAAGCGUGGGGAGCGAACAGG